This 501-nucleotide ribosomal RNA is filed under the name uncultured bacterium. RNAcentral's name for it is "partial 16S ribosomal RNA". It matches the Rfam family "Bacterial small subunit ribosomal RNA", at positions 28 to 523 of the family's 1533-position model. The record is from RNAcentral.
GAUGAACGCUAGCGGCAGGCCUACACAUGCAAGUCGAGGGGCAGCACAGAAACAGCAAUGUUUUGGUGGCGACCGGCGGACGGGUGCGUAACGCGUAUGCAACCUACCUUUAACAGGGGGAUAACGGAGAGAAAUUUCCACUAAUACCCCAUAACAUCGAUCAAGGCAUCUUGAUUGGUUGAAAACUCCGGUGGUUAAAGAUGGGCAUGCGUUGUAUUAGGUAGUUGGUGAGGUAAUGGCUCACCAAGCCUACGAUACAUAGGGGGACUGAGAGGUUGGCCCCCCACACUGGUACUGAGACACGGACCAGACUCCUACGGGAGGCAGCAGUGAGGAAUAUUGGUCAAUGGGGGCAACCCUGAACCAGCCAUGCCGCGUGCAGGAAGACGGCUCCAUUAGUUGUAAACUGUUUUUAAACAGGGAUAAAGCACAGUAUGUAUACUGUGUUGAAGGUACUGUAAGAAUAAGGAUCGGCUAACUCCGUGCCAGCCGCCGCCGUAA